GAUGAACGCUGGCGGCGUGCCUAAUACAUGCAAGUCGAGCGAACGGACGAGAAGCUUGCUUUUCUGAUGUUAGCGGCGGACGGGUGAGUAACACGUGGAUAACCUACCUAUAAGACUGGGAUAACUUCGGGAAACCGGAGCUAAUACCGGAUAAUAUUUUGAACCGCAUGGUUCAAAAGUGAAAGACGGUCUUGCUGUCACUUAUAGAUGGAUCCGCGCUGCAUUAGCUAGUUGGUAAGGUAACGGCUUACCAAGGCAACGAUGCAUAGCCGACCUGAGAGGGUGGUCGGCCACACUGGAACUGAGACACGGUCCUGACCCCUGCGGGAGGCAGCAGUAGGGAAUCUUCCGCAAUGGGCGAAAGCCUGACGGAGCAACGCCGCGUGAGUGAUGAAGGUCUUCGGAUCGUAAAACUCUGUUAUUAGGGAAGAACAUAUGUGUAAGUAACUGUGCACAUCUUGACGGUACCUAAUCAGAAAGCCACGGCUAACUACGUG
RNAcentral lists this ribosomal RNA (497 nucleotides) under uncultured bacterium. RNAcentral's name for it is "partial 16S ribosomal RNA". It matches the Rfam family "Bacterial small subunit ribosomal RNA", at positions 28 to 507 of the family's 1533-position model. The record is from RNAcentral.